This 1042-nucleotide long non-coding RNA is filed under the name Nicotiana benthamiana. RNAcentral's name for it is "long non-coding RNA (NBEN_LNC032447)". Lineage: Eukaryota; Viridiplantae; Streptophyta; Magnoliopsida; Solanales; Solanaceae. The record is from RNAcentral.
UAUCGAAAAAUUAUCCAAAUUAUAAAAUUCGGAAAAAAGAUGAAAUUCUUUUAUGGCCAAACGGUCCCUUGAAUAACAUAAACAAUCCAGUCAAGCAACCAUGAUAGUCUAAUUGCUGACAAAUUUUAUUGAUUCCAUCUACAAACACAUCUAAAUACAACAACAGCCUCAAAUAUCAUAGAUACAUAGACAAACCUCUCAUUCAUAUUAGAUGAAGAAAUAGAUAGAAAGAGACUAAAAAGAAAAAGAACUAGAGACAUACAUACAUAGCCAAACCUCUCAUUCUAACCCUAAACCAUAUUAUAUGAAAUGCAGUGCUUUGAGCAAUACCAGCUACCAAUACAGGUUUGGUCUCAGAUGAGUAUCAUAAUGUGAGACAUGAAAUGAUGGGGUUGUACCUGUCUCAUUCCUAGGAAGUGAUCUUAGGUACAUUUCUUCACCUGAUAAUAAUUUUGGCACCACAUUGGGGCUGAAUGUGGUUGGUGACGAUUCAUGUAGUGGACUCCAACUUGGGGAUUGAGACGUAGUAGUUGUUGUACUGAGGCAAAAAGGAUAGGUGGGGUACACUGAUUUACUAGAAAACGGAAGACCAUAACUCGAGGGAGUAUUAAGAUAGUUGAAUCCAGAGGAAUAUGGUAGACCUUUGUGUAAGGUGUUUUCUAAGACAGGCCUCUGUGAAGGUUGUCCAGAACCGACAUCUGUGAAAGGUCGGAUGGAAAAAGGCAUUUUCAAAGACAGGCCUUUGUGAAGGUAGACCAGAACCAACAUCUGUGAUAGGUCGGACUCGGGUGGAAUGAGAAGAAAACCUAUUUCCUGUAAUAGCAUUUGAUCCAGACUCCAUGUAAGGGGUUCUACGGAAUUUAUCAGAGCCAUUUUCAAGAGAAUAAUUUGCUGACAACCUUGAAAGCAACCCCGGGUAGUUGGCAGUUGUAGUUGCUUCGGGUUGAAAAUCUGUUGGUAGUCUGAAAAAGCCAGGGCACCCAGGUGGUAUAUCUAAUCUGUCCUCAAUUCUAGUUGUAGGAAUAGAAUGUCCUACAGUCUC